This 119-nucleotide ribosomal RNA is filed under the name Crocodylus porosus (Australian saltwater crocodile). The record is from RNAcentral. Lineage: Eukaryota; Metazoa; Chordata; Crocodylia; Crocodylidae.
CAAGCUAACUAUGCCGGACUGAACGUACCUGAUGCUGUCUGAUUAUAAGUACUGAGCAGGCCUGGGCCUGUCUAGUACUUGGAUGGGAGACUACUUUAGCAUCCCAGAUGCCAGAGGGA